This 1215-nucleotide ribosomal RNA is filed under the name Triticum aestivum (bread wheat). RNAcentral's name for it is "partial small subunit ribosomal RNA". The record is from RNAcentral. Lineage: Eukaryota; Viridiplantae; Streptophyta; Magnoliopsida; Poales; Poaceae.
AUGGAGGAACCGACGGCGGCCGGCCCCGACUGGUCCAAGCUGCCGCCGGACGUCCUCACCACCGUCCUCGGUGACCUCGAGUUCCCGGAUCUAUUCCGCACCGCCGACGUCUGCACCGCCUGGCGGGCCACCGCCCGCGCCCUCCGCCGCCUCGGGAUCUACAGCCGCCCCCAAACCCCCUGCCUCCUCUACACCACCGCCGCCGCCGGCCCCCGCGCCGCCGAGCUCUUCAGCCUCGCCGACAAGAAGGCCUACAGGGCGCGCCUCCCCGACCCUCCCAUCGGGGAGCGCAACAUCAUCGGCUCCUCGCACGGGUGGCUCGUCACCGCUGACGCCCGCUCCGAGCUCCACCUCCUCAACCCCGCCACCGGCGAGCAGGUCGCGCUCCCCUCCGUCGCCACCAUCGAGCAGGUAAGCCCCGUCCUCGACCGCGAAGGCAACCUUGAAAGGUACGAUCUUUCUCUCCAUGGGGAUGAUCCGCAGCCCUAUGGGGUGGACGAGCUCCGCGGAGUCCUCUAUCUGAAGGCCGUGCUGUCCUGCGAUCCCGCAUUGGGGGAUUGCACGGUCGUGCUGAUUCACAAUCCCUAUAGGGAUCUCUCGUUUGCGAGGGUCGGUGAUGACAAGUGGCACUGGAUACCUUCGGCACCUCGUGAACCGCCGCGGUACUCAGACUGCAUAUUUGGCGAUGAUGGUGCGCUCUACGCGAUGGAUCUCCUCGGCGGGAUGUAUCGCUAUGCCAUUGAAGGUUCUUGUGCCACCCGUGAUAUGAUUUUCAAGGAAACUUCGCCAUUCGUGGCAUAUAAUGGAUACCUAUCCAAGACAUCAUGUGGCAGUGUGUUGCAAAUAUGGAGGGUCAAGAGGAAAACAAGGGGGGAGCAAGAAGAGAUGCAUACAGUUGAUAUUGAGGUGUACAUGGCUGACAUUGAGAAGCAGCAGAUAGUUCGUGUGCGGACGUUGGGGGAUUACGCGUUGUUCAUUGGGCACAACUAUACUUGUUGCCUUUCCACACAGGACUAUCCAAGGCUUCUGCGGAACCAUGUCUAUUUUACGGACGAUGACGAGUAUUGGCUGAUAGAUUCGAAAGACAAUCGUCGGGAUGUUGGAAUACUAAAUUUGGAGGAUUUAAGUGCCACUGAUGUUGUAUCUCCUCAACCAUGGUUGAAUUGGCCAAUUCCCGUAUGGAUCACUCCAAGUUUUAAUAAGAUCCAUAAAUAG